UACGGGGGGAGCAAGCGUUGUUCGGAUUUACUGGGCGUAAAGGGCGCGUAGGCGGCCUACUAAGUCGGACGUGAAAUCCCUCGGCUCAACCGGGGAACUGCGUCCGAUACUGGUGGGCUCGAAUCCGGGAGAGGGAUGUGGAAUUCCAGGUGUAGCGGUGAAAUGCGUAGAUAUCAGGAGGAACACCGGUGGCGAAGGCGGGUCUCUGGGCAGUAACUGACGCUGGAGGAGCGAAAGCGUGGGGAGCGAACAGG
RNAcentral lists this ribosomal RNA (254 nucleotides) under uncultured bacterium. Its description in RNAcentral is "partial 16S ribosomal RNA". It matches the Rfam family "Bacterial small subunit ribosomal RNA", at positions 524 to 776 of the family's 1533-position model. The record is from RNAcentral.